UGAGACCUCUUGAUGGCCGCGGCCGUGAUCUUCAUUGGGAUCGGCUGAGGAACUUCCGGGCUCCAUAGAGCACGAUGGCGGAUAACGUCCGCCCAGGGUGACCUGAGAGAUAGCGCAACAGAGAACAGACCGCCCGUCCUCGACGGGUAAGGGUGAAACGGCGGUGUAAGAGACCACCGGGCCUCUGGUAACAGUAGGUCGCAUGGCAAGCCUCAUCGGGAGCAAGGCCAAGCAGAUGGCGGUAAGGGCUGCUCGCCCGUGUCAUCGGGUAGGCUGCUAGAGCCUGGCGGUAACGUCAGGUCGAGAUGGAUGGCCAUCCGUGCCGUGCGUUCGCGCACGGCACGACAGAACCCGGGGUAUAAGAGGUC
Molecule: RNase P RNA, 368 nt
Filed under: Bifidobacterium longum
Lineage: Bacteria; Bacillati; Actinomycetota; Actinomycetes; Bifidobacteriales; Bifidobacteriaceae
Description: RNase P RNA component class A
Rfam family: Bacterial RNase P class A
About the family: Ribonuclease P (RNase P) is a ubiquitous endoribonuclease, found in archaea, bacteria and eukarya as well as chloroplasts and mitochondria. Its best characterised activity is the generation of mature 5'-ends of tRNAs by cleaving the 5'-leader elements of precursor-tRNAs.
Source: RNAcentral